GCCAAACAGGUCGUCUCUAACAGCUUACAUGAACUCUUCUGUGUGAGAGUUCGAACAAGUGAAGAUAUUCCUGUGCAUUCUCAAGGAGAAGAUGGGCUGUCAGCUGGCAAAAAAAAAGUGUGUCUGACUUUUGCAGAGAUGAUGUGCACUCCAAAGGGAAGGCUAAGAUACUGAAGAUGAAGAGCGAUGGAAAGCAGAGAUGAAGAAAACAGAGGUGGAAAUGAUUAGUGACCCCUACUAAGGAGAAUGAUCUUCAAACUGGAAAAGAGAGAAAAUCUCAAGAGGAAAAUGAACUUAAGAUAGAAGACAAGAUAUUUGAGAAUAUCCAGAUUCUUCAAAUUUCCUAUGUUAAUGAUAAACCAAGGAUUUCCACUGAAUUCCUACAGUUUGCACACUCUUCUGGAAAUACUCGGUACAUUGCCCUGUAACUGCUGUGAAACAGCCUCCAACACUGACUGGGUCUACCAACUUAAGGUCUGAUCCACUGGUUACAGUAACCUUUAUAGAUAUGUGGGAGGACCCCUAGAGUUCUGUCUGAAGAUUGUUAAUGAAAAGCCCAUCUUAUCAACUCAGGGGAAGAGGCUCAUACUGUCUGAAGUGGCCCAUUGUUUGGAGUUAUUCCUGGCUGAUGACUCUCACCAUCAUAAAUAUUAGGAGGGAGUGGAGACGGAGAGGACACAGGGAAAAGGGAAGAAAGCACUGACCCCAGAGAAGUCCUCCACAAAGUUCAUCUCCCCAGGAAACAAGACAAAACAGAGGUUGGUGUUUCUUCACAGAGGCCAAAUAGUCCUUCUCAAAGGCUGGUGUUGCAACAAACAUACUUCUGCAGUGUUUCCUUGUGUUUGAUUCUGUUCUGUUUAUUGGUCCAGAAGUUACAUUAAUAAGUAUAGAUUUUAUUGUUUUAAUCCAAUACAAUUUACAGUACAUUUUAUCUGACACACAGUAGGCAUAUAUGACAAGGAGAUCAUUUAUGCAAAUAAACAAUGUACUUUCUCUUCUGUUUUUAUCACUCCUUUAUGUCUAUAAUUGGCAUCAAUGUCCAAAGCCUUUAUUGACUCCAAGAGUGCCCAUUAGUACACAAAUGAUCACAUCCUCGUUUUACGCCACCAAUAAUUGAGAUUCCCUCGUUCUGAAAUGCUCUUCCUUGUGCCCCCGUGUUGAGGACGCUUCCUCUGCUCAUGUCCUCCCAUUGCUCCCGUCUUCUUGCACAUGACUCCCCAACACAAACACACUCACACACGCACACUCAUGUCACCUGUCUCUAAGAAUUCAUGCUCCCCAGACAGCUGGGAAUCUAGAGGGUGCUGCGAGCAGCCUGUAUGAGGGUGUAACGCACAUGUGCCAAGGGGCAGGAGUUAAGUUGAAAUUCAGAUGCAAAGACAGGGACAUAGAACAGGACAGAGGGCGCAGAGACCCUGAGCCCUGGAGCCCGGGGUGUUUGAGGCCUAGGGAAGGGAAGGGAGGAGUAGUCAAGGAUGAUGGUGAGGAACUAACCCAGCUACACUACAGUACGUUCAACUCAAGACUUCCCAACAUCCAAAUCAGCUUUCCCUUAAAAUCACUAAGCCAAGUUUGCCUUCAGGACUGUAGGAAUCUUUUCAUUUGAAAGUUUUGUUAUUUGUAGUAUUUGAGUCAUAUAAAGGAAUGUAGUGUAAGUUUUGUCACAUAAUGAUGACAUAAAUACUUGUGGCACAAAGAUCACCCGUCAGUGGUAGACCUUUUAUCUCAGUUCCUUCUAACUCUCACAGUUACCUGGAAUUCCUUUUAGAGAACACACAAGCUUUCAGGCUAGACAUUGAAAGGAAGGCUAAAGCUGUAGCUACCGGGGACAGUUGACAC
This is a long non-coding RNA of Equus caballus (horse), 1839 nucleotides long. The record is from Ensembl. Lineage: Eukaryota; Metazoa; Chordata; Mammalia; Perissodactyla; Equidae.